This 1721-nucleotide ribosomal RNA is filed under the name Vibrio ouci. RNAcentral describes it as "Vibrio sp. BEI176 partial 23S ribosomal RNA". It matches the Rfam family "Bacterial large subunit ribosomal RNA", at positions 1 to 1772 of the family's 2925-position model. The record is from RNAcentral. Lineage: Bacteria; Pseudomonadati; Pseudomonadota; Gammaproteobacteria; Vibrionales; Vibrionaceae.
GUUGUAUGGUUAAGUGACUAAGCGUACACGGUGGAUGCCUUGGCAGUCAGAGGCGAUGAAAGACGUAGUAACUUGCGAUAAGCCCAGAUUAGGUAGUAACAACCAUUUGAGUCUGGGAUUUCUGAAUGGGGAAACCCACRUGCAUAAGCAYGUAUCAUUAACUGAAUACAUAGGUUAAUGAGGCGAACCGGGGGAACUGAAACAUCUAAGUACCCCGAGGAAAAGAAAUCAACCGAGAUUCCGAAAGUAGCGGCGAGCGAAAUUGGACUAGCCCUUAAGCUUUAUAUGCGUUAGACGAACGGUCUGGAAAGUCCGGCGAUACAGGGUGAUAGCCCCGUAGUCGACAACGCACAUUCAGUGAAAUCGAGUAGGGCGGGACACGUGAUAUCCUGUCUGAAUAUGGGGGGACCAUCCUCCAAGGCUAAAUACUACUGACUGACCGAUAGUGAACCAGUACCGUGAGGGAAAGGCGAAAAGAACCCCUGUGAGGGGAGUGAAAUAGAACCUGAAACCGUGUACGUACAAGCAGUAGGAGCACCUUCGUGGUGUGACUGCGUACCUUUUGUAUAAUGGGUCAGCGACUUAUAUUCAGUAGCAAGGUUAACCAUCUAGGGGAGCCGUAGAGAAAUCGAGUCUUAACUGGGCGUCGAGUUGCUGGAUAUAGACCCGAAACCAGGUGAUCUAGCCAUGGGCAGGUUGAAGGUUGAGUAACAUCAACUGGAGGACCGAACCGACUAAUGUUGAAAAAUUAGCGGAUGACUUGUGGCUAGGGGUGAAAGGCCAAUCAAACCUGGAGAUAGCUGGUUCUCCCCGAAAUCUAUUUAGGUAGAGCCUCGGACGAAUACUACUGGGGGUAGAGCACUGUUAAGGCUAGGGGGUCAUCCCGACUUACCAACCCUUUGCAAACUCCGAAUACCAGUAAGUACUAUCCGGGAGACACACRGCGGGUGCUAACGUCCGUCGUGGAGAGGGAAACAACCCAGACCGCCAGCUAAGGUCCCAAAUUAUUACUAAGUGGGAAACGAUGUGGGAAGGCUUAGACAGCUAGGAUGUUGGCUUAGAAGCAGCCAUCAUUUAAAGAAAGCGUAAUAGCUCACUAGUCGAGUCGGCCUGCGCGGAAGAUGUAACGGGGCUAAGUAAUAAACCGAAGCUGCGGCAAUGUCCUUUGGRCAUUGGGUAGGGGAGCGUUCUGUAAGCCGUUGAAGGUGUGUUGUAAAGCAUGCUGGAGGUAUCAGAAGUGCGAAUGCUGACAUGAGUAACGAUAAAGGGGGUGAAAAACCCCCUCGCCGGAAGACCAAGGGUUCCUGUCCAACGUUAAUCGGGGCAGGGUAAGUCGACCCCUAAGGCGAGGCCGAAAGGCGUAGUCGAUGGGAAACGGGUUAAUAUUCCCGUACUUCUUAYAAUUGCGAUGGGGGGACGGAGAAGGCUAGGUGGGCCUGGCGACGGUUGUCCAGGUUCAAGUGCGUAGGCUUAAGAGUUAGGUAAAUCCGGCUCUUUYUAAGGCUGAGACACGACGUCGAGCUACUACGGUAGUGAAGUCAUUGAUGCCAUGCUUCCAGGAAAAGCCUCUAAGCUUCAGAUUAUAAGGAAUCGUACCCCAAACCGACACAGGUGGUCGGGUAGAGAAUACCAAGGCGCUUGAGAGAACUCGGGUGAAGGAACUAGGCAAAAUGGUACCGUAACUUCGGGAGAAGGUACGCUCUUGUCGGUGAAGUCCCUUG